AGCAGCCGCGGUAAUUCCAGCUCCAAUAGCGUAUAUUAAAGUUGCUGCAGUUAAAAAGCUCGUAGUUGAAUUUCGGGACUAAUAUGUCGGUCGUGCCUCGGUACGUACUGGUUUAUUGGUUUCUCCUUUCUGAAGAACCAUGAUGUCAUUUAUUUGGUGUCGUGGGGAAUCAGGACUGUUACUUUGAAAAAUUAGAGUGUUUAAAGCAGGCUCACGCUUGAAUACAUUAGCAUGGAAUAAUGAAAUAGGACGUUUGAUUCUAUUUUGUUGGUUUCUAGGAUCGACGUAAUGAUUAAUAGGGAUAGUUGGGGGCAUUAGUAUUCAAUUGUCAGAGGUGAAAUUCUUGGAUUUAUUGAAGACUAACUACUGCGAAAGCAUUUGCCAAGGAUGUUUUCAUUAAUCAAGAACGAAAGUUAGGGGAUCGAAGACGAUCAGAUACCGUCGUAGUCUUAACCAUAAACUAUGCCGACUAGGGAUCGGAUGAUGUUAAUUUUUUAAUGUACUCAUUCGGCGCCUUACG
This 520-nucleotide unclassified non-coding RNA is filed under the name uncultured Glomus. RNAcentral's name for it is "SSU rRNA". It matches the Rfam family "Eukaryotic small subunit ribosomal RNA", at positions 569 to 1092 of the family's 1831-position model. The record is from RNAcentral. Lineage: Eukaryota; Fungi; Glomeromycota; Glomeromycetes; Glomerales; Glomeraceae.